Molecule: unclassified non-coding RNA, 538 nt
Filed under: Hevea brasiliensis (rubber tree)
Lineage: Eukaryota; Viridiplantae; Streptophyta; Magnoliopsida; Malpighiales; Euphorbiaceae
Source: RNAcentral
ACCCUGCCCCCUUUACUUCUUUUACGGUGAAGCAACAUGCCACUGGUUGACGACAAUCGACAGUGGGCACUCUUUUCCGCUUGUCCUCUCGUUAUUAUCUUCCCCUCUCACCCUCUCUCCAUCCCUCUUUUUCUAGCUACUAUAGGCGGCGAAAGACAAGAACACCAAGGACCACUGACGAGCCUCAAUUACUGGAAGCAGCGCACAACGAAGGACAGAAGUAGCGGUGGUCAGCGCUGCCUCGACUCCUCUCUCUCUCAGAGGUCAGUGAAGCACCUCCGUCCAUCUCUUCCUCCCCUCUCUAAUUCCCCUUCGCUCCCUCUCUUUUCCUGUCUUCUCUGGCGAAAACUAGCAACUCUAGUGCUCAGACAAGGAGUAGUGACAAUGUAUGAGCAACACCUGCUAGAAAUGGCUCCAACCAGAAAGACCCUCAUGUCUCCAUUCUUUCUUUCUUCGGCAAGGUUCGAGUUUGAAUACGGAUCUCAAUAGAUCCGUCCAAGUAAACUUUAAUUUAAAUUUUAUUUUAGUUGAAUCUUUG